CCUACGGGAGGCAGCAGUGGGGGAUAUUGGACAAUGGGGGGAACCCUGAUCCAGCGACGCCGCGUGAGUGAAGACGUAUUUCGGUAUGUAAAGCUCUGUCAGCAGGGAAGAAAGAAAUGACGGUACCGGACCAAUAAGCCCCGGCUAACUACGUGCAAGCAGCCGCGGUAAUCCGGAGGGGGCAAGCGUUAUCCGGAAUUACUGGGUGUAAAGGGAGCGUAGACGGUGAAGUAAGUCUGGAGUGAAAGGCCGGGGCCCAACCCCGGGACUGCUGUGGAAACUAUUGAACUUGAGUGCAGGAGAGGUAAGCGGAAUUCGUAGUGUAGCGGUGAAAUGCGUAGAUAUCAGGAGGAACACCAGUGGCGAAGGCGGCUUACUGGACUGUAACUGACGUUGAGGCUCGAAAGCGUGGGGAGCAAACAGGAUUAGAUACCCUGGUAGUC
This 443-nucleotide ribosomal RNA is filed under the name uncultured bacterium. Its description in RNAcentral is "partial 16S ribosomal RNA". It matches the Rfam family "Bacterial small subunit ribosomal RNA", at positions 338 to 795 of the family's 1533-position model. The record is from RNAcentral.